This 316-nucleotide ribosomal RNA is filed under the name Providencia stuartii. RNAcentral's name for it is "bacterial LSU rRNA". It matches the Rfam family "Bacterial large subunit ribosomal RNA", at positions 481 to 694 of the family's 2925-position model. The record is from RNAcentral. Lineage: Bacteria; Pseudomonadati; Pseudomonadota; Gammaproteobacteria; Enterobacterales; Morganellaceae.
UGACCGAUAGUGAACCAGUACCGUGAGGGAAAGGCGAAAAGAACCCCGGCGAGGGGAGUGAAAUAGAACCUGAAACCGUGUACGUACAAGCAGUGGGAGCCCCACCACUAAGCCAGUGGUGAGUCAUCACAGCGUCAUCCUUACUUGAUGGCGGUUGGCGGAACGUCCUUUGUGACGCCCAACCCAAAAAAUCAAGCAAAGGGGGCUUAGUGGUGGGGUGACUGCGUACCUUUUGUAUAAUGGGUCAGCGACUUAUAUUCUGUAGCAAGGUUAACCGAAUAGGGGAGCCGUAGGGAAACCGAGUCUUAACUGGGCG